GAAAGUCUUCGGCGGCCGAGAGGCCCAGCCGUCCCCUUCUAAACCCACCCUGUGAAACCUCCCUUCGCUUCGGCAGCAGCCUCCCGGCCAGCCCGGGGGUCCGUCAGCCUGCCGGCAGCCCCGCAGAAAACCAUUUGUUGAAUCGAACCGUCAGUCUGAAGAACUUUUCUUGAAGAAACAAGUUA
Molecule: unclassified non-coding RNA, 185 nt
Filed under: uncultured fungus
Lineage: Eukaryota; Fungi
Description: sequence contains ITS1, 5.8S rRNA gene
Source: RNAcentral